Molecule: unclassified non-coding RNA, 42 nt
Organism: Xiphophorus couchianus (Monterrey platyfish)
Lineage: Eukaryota; Metazoa; Chordata; Actinopteri; Cyprinodontiformes; Poeciliidae
Source: Ensembl
GCAUCAACAAAAGGAUGUUAUGUAACUGCUAUUUAUACUUGC